This is a long non-coding RNA of Hemicordylus capensis (graceful crag lizard), 471 nucleotides long. RefSeq lists it as uncharacterized. Lineage: Eukaryota; Metazoa; Chordata; Lepidosauria; Squamata; Cordylidae. The record is from RefSeq and is a predicted model, not a curated record. The transcript has 4 exons.
GGAAAUAGGCAAAAACAAUCAUGCUUGAAUACCUUAGUGUUAGCUGACAUGGGAGUCCAGGCCCACCUAUUAGGUGUGAUUCCCGCCUCCCAGGAGCCCUAUGUAAGGAAGCUAGGAGAGACUGCCUGCAGAGCUACCAUAGAGCCUGGAUACCAGAGUGCCCUGCAAAGCAAGCCGAAUCCUUAGAAAAGGACUACCCAGGAACAGGAGUCAACACCGACUCGAUGGCACACUACCUUUAAUCUUUACAACAGCCCUGUAAAGUAAGAAUUAUUAUCCCAAUAUCACGAUUGAGGGAUUGAGUCUGAAAAGCUAUCACUUGCAUAAGGCCAUCUAGUGAGUUCAUGGCAGAGAGCCCUACACAUCAUGUUGUCUGUCAUACAGAUUGUAUGGAAAUAGCCCAUGGAUAGAUUCUGUUCAGAUGAAUGAGCUCUUCAAGAGUAGAGCCAGGUCCUGGUCUCCCUGCAUAGG